AAGUCGUAACAAGGUAUCCGUAGGUGAACCUGCGGAUGGAUCAUUACCAAUUUUAUUAUAUUAGUUUGGGUAUGUUGCUCUGCUUUCGGGGAGAGUCGCAUUACACACAACUACUAUGUAAAUGUUGAACUAGAUCAAUCAGUUGUGGAUUGCUUGGGAAAGGCGAUGUAACUAUCUCCGGACAGGCAAACCCCACACUGGUAACCCUUUUCAAUUAUUAUACAAUUCGUAUAUACUACCAAAAACAAACAAAAAUUCUAUUAAUAGGACUUAUUAAUGGGCUGAGUGGGUAAAAUCCUCGGCUCUAUAAAAAUAUAACAAAAUACAACUUUCAGCAAUGGAUCUCUAGGCUCUC
This 355-nucleotide unclassified non-coding RNA is filed under the name Ramicandelaber sp. Its description in RNAcentral is "partial internal transcribed spacer region". The stretch from base 1 to 46 matches the Rfam family "Eukaryotic small subunit ribosomal RNA", at positions 1786 to 1831 of the family's 1831-position model. RNAcentral also lists the same sequence under 1 other name. The record is from RNAcentral. Lineage: Eukaryota; Fungi; Kickxellomycota; Ramicandelaberales; Ramicandelaberaceae.